UGCGCCCCGGGAGGGCAGGGGCCGCCCGCCCGCCCACCUCUACUGCCUGCCCGCACGUUUUGCCAGGUUCACUGAGAGCAAGGGGCCUGAAUCAGGUGUGCAGAUGCCCUCUCGCGUCCAAGCCGCAAGGACUUCGAAGACACAGUCUCUGGCCAAGGGUUAUUAGCGGUUUCCCAAAAGGCACUGUUUUUGCACACAAGGGUGGAACUUGUUUCUACUCGUUUUACGUUUAGAACCCCGCAAACCUGGAGAGGACGGCUGAAAGGUGCCUCUUGUUCAGUCCCCCUUAAAUUAAUACGUCCUAACAUGUGUGAAAAUCAAGAGUUACGCGAAUGUUAGCCAAGUACUAAUCCACUUUCAGAAUCACUCUCCACGAAGGGUUUCCCCCCGGCUGCCUCUCGGUGGACUUCUCCUCCUGCAGACGCACGGGUUGCCUAGGACUCCCGCGAGUAACACGGCUGCCGAAUCCUCUUUGCCCACUUGCCGCUUUCCAUCCCUCGUUGUCACGGGCACCUGCGUGCGUGCUGAGCGUAGUGACGCGUGGUCAGCGGUCAGCAGUGCGGUGGGGCCAUCGGGCGGGAGGAGGUGCCCGGCACGGUGUCCACUACGGGGGGAGCUGGAGAGCAAGGACACGAGCAGGCCCCGUCCUGGUGCCCGCAUAGCGCCAGGCUCUGCUGUCCAGAGAGCUGAUGGAGCAACGUAUUAACACUCGGCAAAACCCACCAACGUUUUAAACCGUGUAUGUUGCUCUACCUACCAGGAGAUGUUACUUCUAGAAGUCUAUCCAGCCUAUAAGUUGCAUGUAUAAAAGAUGCUUGUUUAGCAACAACCUAGAAAUAAGGCAUAUGUCCAACAAUAAGGACACCGUCAAGUAAAUUACGGCACGUCGUCCCAGACCUACAGGGCAGCCGUUUAAAUGGGGUAUGCUGUCACCAGGUGUCCCCGCGAUGGCACCAGUGACCUCUCAACUGGGUAAUUCUCUCUCGUGGAGGACCAUCUUGCCCUGCAGGAUGUUCAGCAGCAUCCCCGGCCCCUCCCUCGAUGCCUCGCUCCCCCUGCCGUAGCAAGUACAACCGUCUCUAGCCUUGACCCUGGGGACAGCCCCCCGGUGAGACCCUGGUUCUGUAAACCCGGCUAGAGAGAUGCCCAGCAUCUAUCUAGUUGCAGAGAUGAGUUGCUACAGAGUCUAAAGGCAUCCCAUGGUGGAGCCUGUACCCGUGUUACAGCAGAGGCGGUCUCUGCAAGGGGGUGUGGGGAGACCCACGUGAGCCCCGGCCCCGAACACCCACCUUGCACAAGCCCCGGGAUGGUGUCCGUUAAACGGCUGUGGUCGAAUGACUUUGAUUCAAACCAGCCAGCGUGAUGACUGUGCACCUCUUAGGCGCUGCGCCAAAUAGGGGCCCAGAGGCCGGACCCUAAAGGCAGGGCCUGCUCACUGGGCCACAGGCACUUCCCUGGAGGCAAGGCCGAGGCCCUCCCUGGAGAGCAGCUCUGGUCACUGAGCCACCAGAUGCCAGUGGGCAGAGCAGGGAGCCUUGAGGUCCAGGAUGGGGCGCACCCCGGCCUCCACGGUGGGUUUUACGCUGUGCUGACAAUCAGGGGCUGUCAUGGUGUCUGUGCGUCCAGCUCGUGAUCCGGAGGAACCCUCCAGGGCUAAACGGAAUCUCCUCCACCUUGUAUCGGGCACCCCAGUGAAGUCCCAGACGGGACCUAAAGACUCUGGCCAAGAAUCGUCAGGACCCCUCCUUGUCCUGGCUCUGACCGAGGCAAGGCCGGGGCCCUCGAUUCUGAGCCACGCAGCGACGCCUGCACCAGGCCCUUCCAUUAGGAACCGGGCUUGCCCGCUCCCCGGCCGCGUGUGUCUGCACAGGCAGGCUCGGGAGGGCGGGAAAGGCUUGCCUCUCUCUCCGCCGUGGCGGUCUCCCCUACACGGCACGGGGCUGCCGCAGACGAGGCCCUCACGUCACCGUGGAGCCACCCUGCCCUGCGGGUGAGGGCCACGGGGGCAGCGGGAGAACGCAGCCCCAGGAACGCAGAUGGGGAGUCGAGGGCCUGCGUCUGACCCUUCGUCCUGGAACUGCUGUGUCGUUGCAAUUUUGCCAAACCCCGUGUGGCCUGGCCCUGGCGCCUCCGCGAGAGAGCAGACGCUCACAUCCGUCCCCGUGGCCUCUGGGGAGGAGGUAGGCAGCACCUGGUAAUUGCGAGAGGUGUUUUAAGACCUGGAAGCAAACAGUAAGUGCGUCCCUCCGUUCGGUGUGUUCACUCCCUCCAGUUCAUCCCUGAGCAUCGCACAAAGAUCGUGACCGUUUGCCUGUUUCUGAUCGGACUUUCCUGAUCAUGAAUCAGUUGAUUACCUCCCCUGAACGUCUCCGUCCGUGUGCGCGUGAGGCAGAAGGAAUCCCUCCCCGUGCAAAGCCAACCUGCGCUGCAGCCUGGCCCGUCUUACCCCGCAGAACGCACCUGCCUCAGAGUCUGGGGUGCACAUAAACAUCUGGCCGGUCAUUUCCACUCAUUUCUGGGCCCCCCGAGCCCACGCGGUCAGAGCCCCUGUGUUGGUCUGUCCGUCUUCAGAUGCCUGGUCCCGACACCUGGGCGCACCUCUAUUUUGAUUCUGUGUCUCCUUCCCGAGUGCUCUACCCUGACCGGCGUGGGCACAGCCUCUCCGCACAGCCCGGAGGCAGGCUGGGGGCAGCUCAAGCACUCCUCUGCCCAGCUCACUCCUCUUCUGGGGCCUCGGCCCUCCCGGGGAGGACGGUGGUGUGCAUGGGGCACUGCCCUAAGGGAAUCAUUAUCUCAUCGAAAUCCUCACAGCAGUGCUUCCCGGUAGGGAAAGGAGGGUAUUCACAGAACACCUGAGUCACUUACAGUUGUCUAACUCGACGAUGUCGUUUUUCACACUGCCGUUUCUUUUUCUCGAAGUAACGACUCACGUGGCAGUAGGGGGUUGUAAGCGUUGGCUCGGCAGCUGGUUGGCGAAAGCCCAGAUCUACCCGUCUUCUAGGUUUACCGUCCCUAGAGCAUUGUUUUUCCAUCCUCGUGAGUGGUGCCUUGUGGCCGCAAAGUGGCUGCCACAGCCCCAGGCGUCACAUGCAGUUGAAGGGAGGAAAUGGAUGAAACGAGCUGCCUCCGUCCCUUUUAUCGGGAAGGCAAAGCUUUCCCCAAACCUUGGGACUUCCCUGUGCUCCUUGUGGAUGAGAAACCGUCACAUGGCACUUCUAGCUAAAAGGAAGGUAGGAAGACAAGUAUCGGGAUACAAGGAAUAGGGGAUUGGGAAUGGUUGUCUUACUUGCCAGCCUCGAGGUCAACUGAGGAGGUAUUCGGGAAAGGGUGAGCGGACUUGAGGGAGGCCCUGUGCCUGGCCUGCCCCCCACCAUUUCUCAUUCCUCUUGGGCAGAUCUUAGGGACCCAUUGGUUAGGAAGGAGAGGGACGCUACAGUGUGUAAUCCAGGCUUGCUGGAACGUGGAGAAUGGCAGGGGUGAGCCUAGAGAAGGGGAGCUCCUGAGGAGCCCCGGGUGGCAGCACCAGGCACAGGGGCAGAGGGCCAGGACCGCAUCCUCUCCGGACCGGUUUCCCUCUCUGUGAACGGAGCGUGAUGGCAGGAACUAUCUCCAGUGUGGUCGGACGGACUGGAAGGGCCAGAGUAGUGCCUGACCCACAGCACACGCUGUAACGUGUCCGACAGAUCUGUGAGAAGGCAGAGAUCGGCGGCGCACAGAGACCCGUGGCGGAGCCCGUGUCGGCACCUCUUGGCCACGGUGCUUCCCCCUGAUCGGACCCUCUUCUUUCUCCGCCGCCUGGUUGUGGGACAGGGCAGAGCAAGGUUGUCCGAUGCACAAGGACCGGUAACCUAGCUCUGG
Molecule: long non-coding RNA, 3858 nt
Organism: Leopardus geoffroyi (Geoffroy's cat)
Lineage: Eukaryota; Metazoa; Chordata; Mammalia; Carnivora; Felidae
Exons: 2
Source: RefSeq, a predicted model, not a curated record